This 277-nucleotide ribosomal RNA is filed under the name uncultured bacterium. RNAcentral's name for it is "partial 16S ribosomal RNA". It matches the Rfam family "Bacterial small subunit ribosomal RNA", at positions 28 to 302 of the family's 1533-position model. The record is from RNAcentral.
GACGAACGCUGGCGGCGUGCUUAACACAUGCAAGUCGGACGAGGACGAGGAGCUUGCUCUUCGAUCCGAGUGGCGAACGGGUGAGUAACACGUGACCAACCUGUCCUAGGGUGAGGGACAACCUGGGGAAACUCGGGCUAAUACCGCAUACGCCCUACGGGGAAAGGCGGGGGACGUUUCGGGCCGUCGCGCUAUUAGAUGAGCCUAAGUCCGAUUAGCUAGUUGGCGAGGGUAAUGGCCUACCAAGGCGACGAUCGGUAGCUGGUCUGAGAGGACG